Molecule: ribosomal RNA, 470 nt
Filed under: Bacillus sp. (in: firmicutes)
Lineage: Bacteria; Bacillati; Bacillota; Bacilli; Caryophanales; Bacillaceae
Description: bacterial SSU rRNA
Rfam family: Bacterial small subunit ribosomal RNA
Source: RNAcentral
UUCCUACGGGAGGCAGCAGUAGGGAAUCUUCCGCAAUGGACGAAAGUCUGACGGAGCAACGCCGCGUGAGUGAUGAAGGUUUUCGGAUCGUAAAGCUCUGUUGUUAGGGAAGAACAAGUACCGUUCGAAUAGGGCGGUACCUUGACGGUACCUAACCAGAAAGCCACGGCUAACUACGUGCCAGCAGCCGCGGUAAUACGUAGGUGGCAAGCGUUGUCCGGAAUUAUUGGGCGUAAAGGGCUCGCAGGCGGUUCCUUAAGUCUGAUGUGAAAGCCCCCGGCUCAACCGGGGAGGGUCAUUGGAAACUGGGGAACUUGAGUGCAGAAGAGGAGAGUGGAAUUCCACGUGUAGCGGUGAAAUGCGUAGAGAUGUGGAGGAACACCAGUGGCGAAGGCGACUCUCUGGUCUGUAACUGACGCUGAGGAGCGAAAGCGUGGGGAGCGAACAGGAUUAGAUACCCUGGUAGUCCA